UACGUAGGGUGCAAGCGUUAAUCGGAAUUACUGGGCGUAAAGCGUGCGCAGGCGGCUAUGCAAGACAGAUGUGAAAUCCCCGGGCUUAACCUGGGAACUGCAUUUGUGACUGCAUGGCUAGAGUACGGUAGAGGGGGAUGGAAUUCCGCGUGUAGCAGUGAAAUGCGUAGAUAUGCGGAGGAACACCGAUGGCGAAGGCAAUCCCCUGGGCCUGUACUGACGCUCAUGCACGAAAGCGUGGGGAGCAAACAGG
This 253-nucleotide ribosomal RNA is filed under the name uncultured bacterium. RNAcentral describes it as "partial 16S ribosomal RNA". It matches the Rfam family "Bacterial small subunit ribosomal RNA", at positions 524 to 776 of the family's 1533-position model. The record is from RNAcentral.